AGAGUUUGAUCCUGGCUCAGAUUGAACGCUGGCGGCAGGCUUAACACAUGCAAGUCGAGCGGGGAAAGGUAGCUUGCUACCUUACCUAGCGGCGGACGGGUGAGUAAUGCUUAGGAAUCUGCCUAUUAGUGGGGGACAACAUUUCGAAAGGAAUGCUAAUACCGCAUACGCCCUACGGGGGAAAGCAGGGGACCUUCGGGCCUUGCGCUAAUAGAUGAGCCUAAGUCGGAUUAGCUAGUUGGUGGGGUAAAGGCCUACCAAGGCGACGAUCUGUAGCGGGUCUGAGAGGAUGAUCCGCCACACUGGGACUGAGACACGGCCCAGACUCCUACGGGAGGCAGCAGUGGGGAAUAUUGGACAAUGGGGGGAACCCUGAUCCAGCCAUGCCGCGUGUGUGAAGAAGGCCUUUUGGUUGUAAAGCACUUUAAGCGAGGAGGAGGCUACUUAGAUUAAUACUCUAGGAUAGUGGACGUUACUCGCAGAAUAAGCACCGGCUAACUCUGUGCCAGCAGCCGCGGUAAUACAGAGGGUGCAAGCGUUAAUCGGAUUUACUGGGCGUAAAGCGUGCGUAGGUGGCCAAUUAAGUCAAAUGUGAAAUCCCCGAGCUUAACUUGGGAAUUGCAUUCGAUACUGGUUGGCUAGAGUAUGGGAGAGGAUGGUAGAAUUCCAGUGUAGCGGUGAAAUGCGUAGAGAUCUGGAGGAAUACCGAUGGCGAAGCAGCCAUCUGGCCUAAUACUGACACUGAGUACGAAAGCAUGGGAGCAAACA
This 768-nucleotide ribosomal RNA is filed under the name uncultured bacterium. RNAcentral describes it as "bacterial SSU rRNA". It matches the Rfam family "Bacterial small subunit ribosomal RNA", at positions 8 to 774 of the family's 1533-position model. The record is from RNAcentral.